CUUUGACCUUUUGCUAUUUAGAGAGUAUGGUUUGUUUCUUCUGCUGAGUGUGAUCCACGAUUCUACCUCCCAGAGGGCUUGAUUGAGAGAGAUCAUUUCCUUCACUGAAUAUUAUUUUGUGUGUAUCCUAGUGCCUCUUGGUUGAUUCUUUCAAAGCACUAAUUUGCUUCUGGAUAAAUUUCACCUACAUGUAUUAAAAGUAUAUAUUUUUAUAUGCACAUGCUUUUUUACAUGAGUGACAACAUCUGUGUGUAAUUUCCCUUUACUUUUUGUCCCAUUCUGAAAGUUAUUCUGUCCCAUACAAUAUCAUGGUCCAA
Molecule: long non-coding RNA, 317 nt
Filed under: Salvia miltiorrhiza (redroot sage)
Lineage: Eukaryota; Viridiplantae; Streptophyta; Magnoliopsida; Lamiales; Lamiaceae
Description: long non-coding RNA (SMIL_LNC005597)
Source: RNAcentral